Molecule: long non-coding RNA, 218 nt
Filed under: Lathyrus oleraceus (garden pea)
Lineage: Eukaryota; Viridiplantae; Streptophyta; Magnoliopsida; Fabales; Fabaceae
Description: Pisum sativum (pea) long non-coding RNA (PSAT_LNC013049)
Source: RNAcentral
UUUUUCUUUCAAAUCCCCAAAAAGUGUGUCUGGAGAGCAUCUUAACGCAACCGUGCUAAGGAGCAACGUGGGCGCGUUGUAUAAUGAUGGCGAAAAUGCGGGAGCGUUCUAAAGUGGCGCGAGCGCGUUGCCAGUAGCUUCAGCGUGUUUUUGUUCCUUUUUUCACUAAUUUUCACACUGUCAUUUUCUUCACCCUUUGUCACUUUUCCAUGCUUUUU